AACGCACAUUGCGCCCCUUGGUAUUCCGGGGGGCAUGCCUGUUCGAGCGUCAUUAUAACCCUCAAGCCUAGCUUGGUGUUGGAGCCUGCGUCUCGCAGCUCUUAAAAUCAGUGGCAGUGCCCUCUGGCUCUAAGCGUAGUAAUUCUUCUCGCUACAGACACCAGAGGGCCCGCGCCAGAACCCCCAAUUUCUAGUGAUUGACCUCGGAUCAGGUAGGGAUACCCGCUGAACUUAA
This 235-nucleotide unclassified non-coding RNA is filed under the name uncultured Ascomycota. RNAcentral's name for it is "sequence contains ITS2". Lineage: Eukaryota; Fungi; Ascomycota. The record is from RNAcentral. RNAcentral also lists the same sequence under 1 other name.